Molecule: RNA transcript, 1929 nt
Organism: Helianthus annuus (common sunflower)
Lineage: Eukaryota; Viridiplantae; Streptophyta; Magnoliopsida; Asterales; Asteraceae
Gene name: glycosyltransferase BC10-like
Exons: 6
Source: RefSeq, a predicted model, not a curated record
GCGACCAUGGUUUAAAAAUUUACUUUUGCUGUAAAACAGUUUUUUCAAUAUUAUUUUGAAUGUUUUUAAAGUCAAAAUUUAUGAUGUUAUAAAUUCAACACUUAAAACAAUAUUGAUUAAAAAAUAUAUUCCAAAAUCAUAAUCUAAAAGUUUACAAAUAAUGAAAUAGAGGUAAAUUAGAAGUCUUUAAGUUAAAAAAUAUUAAAUGGAAUUCAAAGAGAAGUAAUUUACCUAUUUAACUUUAACAUUAAUCCCUGUUUACCCUUUUUUCUCAAUAACUCCUUGGAAACUAAAGAGUUUCCUACAACUUGCAAUUGCAAUUGAAUCGUUCACUUUUAAUUAAAAUUUAUUUAUUUAUCAAUUUAUCAACUAUUAUUUACUUCCUUUUCACAUUCGCAUUCACAUAACACUACGUCUACAAAGUUAGAUACAUCCAGGGUUAAAGAAAGAGAGAGGGGCCUGGAGAGAGAGUGGACGGUCGCCGGCUACAUUACCCGGUGAUCAUCUAUUACUCAGGAGAUGACGACGAGGGUGAUGGGGGUAACAUCACCGCUCAAGGGUGACAUAUAGUGACGAUGGUGACGGUAGUUCGCCGGUGGUCAGCAGCCACAUCUUUGAGUGACGACUAGGGUUCCGAAGAACGAACCGGGUGAUGUGAUGGGGUAACGACUUCAGUCAAGGUAAGGUAACGGAGGAUCGAAGGUGGUAUACGAAGUGUCAUCCGCAUUUUCCGCCUGCUCUUCUCCUCUACUCCUCCGGCAAGGGACUCCUUAUCACUUUUCGAGGUGCGGUUGCUCUAUUCCCUGCUAUUUCUCUCAACUGGUAUGUUUUUUUUCUUUUGUCUUUAUCUGAUUUAGAGCUUCAUACGUCUUUAAUAAUUGGAUGGUUAUAAAAAAGUUUCAUGCAAAUAUAUGUAUUGAAUAUGGUUAUAUGCAAUUCCUUUAACUGUUUUAUGUAUUUUGGAAUGUUACUUUGAUGAGCAAUUACGGACCAUCUGAAAGAUAAAGAAAGGGUUCCGGCCACGAUUCUGACCGGAUGUCGAUUAUAUGGAGAUAGUCGUGCACGAUUAGUUGGUUUGUUUGUUUAAAUACUCAUAUACAUCUCGCCUCUGAUUGGGUUCAGAUCUUUUUUAUUCGUGUCAUAGGUCUGAUUGCAAGGGUUUUUUCUUUUCGUAUUCUGAUUUGGUUCAGGUACGUUUUUAUUUCCAGUUUGUUUAGUCGCAUUAUUUUGAGUUUUGAUAUAGAAAGAGUUCGUGGAAAUAAUAACAUAUUCGGUGGUGUUACAAAUGGAUAUUUUGCUUUCACUAAGGAACACCAGUAACCGUGUGGAUACAGGUGCAUUGCCUCCAUUUCAGUUCAGCUAUUUGAGAAAUAGGAAAUCAUUAUCUGAGUUUUGGCGGGAUUGUCCUAUUCUGGCUGAUAAUUCAAAGGAGCAUAAUUGCAUGCCUUAUGAACAUUAUACCGCAACAUUACUUGCACAAAAAGGCCUUGAAGGAGAACCCACAAAUAGGAGUUUAACUCACACUUCAUGGGUAUCUCAUCAAGCAAAGGUCGUGAAAGGCAAGGAUGGCAUCCUAUGACGGCCAAAUCUACAAAUUUGUUGUUGCUACUCCCAUUAUUCAUUCAGUGGUCUCAUUCACACUUGAUCACAAUAAGGUGGUUCAUGACGAGUGCCCACCUACCGAAUAAAAGAAGCAAACAAGAAACUACUAAGGGGAAGGGCGACUACAUGGGCAUGCAUUAGCGGCAGAAGAUUUCGUGAAUUAUUGAAUAAACCGGAAGCUUUAUGAACUCCUUUAAGUUUUUUUCCUGUAAUGUAUGUUUUUAGACUUGGCAUACAAGUUUGUUCUUAAACACAUUCCGCAAACAAAGUUUCCUAUGCUAUGCACGCCUUAAAUUUUGUGUGGCUGGCUUAUGGUACAAGCUCUUA